UAGCUCAGCCGAUGGUAGG
Molecule: unclassified non-coding RNA, 19 nt
Filed under: Chlamydomonas reinhardtii
Lineage: Eukaryota; Viridiplantae; Chlorophyta; Chlorophyceae; Chlamydomonadales; Chlamydomonadaceae
Description: small RNA Cre_2301
Source: RNAcentral